RNAcentral lists this unclassified non-coding RNA (362 nucleotides) under fungal sp. RNAcentral's name for it is "partial internal transcribed spacer region". The stretch from base 1 to 46 matches the Rfam family "Eukaryotic small subunit ribosomal RNA", at positions 1786 to 1831 of the family's 1831-position model. Lineage: Eukaryota; Fungi. The record is from RNAcentral.
AAGUCGUAACAAGGUCUCCGUAGGUGAACCUGCGGAGGGAUCAUUUAAGUAUACUAUAUUUAUAUAGAUAUAUAUACAAAGGAUAGAGAAUUUUUAUAUGUAUAUGCGAACUCGUGUCGUGUAUACGUAUAAGAGUGACUGUGGUGUGGUAUAUGUACUUGGUAUACACAUGUGUACCAAUAUAUUAUACUUGCCCAGUCAAAUGAAAACUUUUCAUAUACUAUAAUGUUGCAUGAUACAGGGUGAUUAUGAACCAUGGAGGGGUAUAUACCCAUCCACGGGGACGAUCACACAUUUACCUGGUCAAAAAUGGAUAUACCUUUUAAUGUAUACAACUUUUGGCAAUGGAUCUCUUGGUUCUC